CAGCGGGAGUUAGUCCUGCCAGGGUAAGAGUCAGAAGCCCUGUAGCUGAAGUAGCAGCGUGGAAGGAAACUGAGACGCUGGAGCCUACAGAUAAAGCCAUCUUAAGGGUGGUGAGCGAGUAACUAGGCCGUAGCGAAA
Non-coding RNA from Alphaproteobacteria bacterium 41-28, 138 nucleotides. Lineage: Bacteria; Pseudomonadati; Pseudomonadota; Alphaproteobacteria. The record is from Rfam.